RNAcentral lists this transfer RNA (81 nucleotides) under Bordetella bronchiseptica. RNAcentral's name for it is "tRNA-Cys(gca)". RNAcentral also lists the same sequence under 79 other names. The record is from RNAcentral. Lineage: Bacteria; Pseudomonadati; Pseudomonadota; Betaproteobacteria; Burkholderiales; Alcaligenaceae.
GCGCCAAGCAGGCCCUGGUGGCCCGCGCCCUGCAAUGGCGCCGCGAGCAACCCGCGCUGUUCGAACACGGCGCUUGCCGCU